UCAAAGGAAUUGACGGGGAGCACCACAACGGGUGGAGCUUGCGGUUUAAUUGGAUUCAACGCCGGAAAUCUUACCGGGACCGACAGCAAUAUGAAGGCCAGGCUGAAGACUUUGCCGGAUUAGCUGAGAGGUGGUGCAUGGCCGUCGUCAGUUCGUACUGUGAAGCAUCCUGUUAAGUCAGGCAACGAGCGAGACCCACGCCCACAGUUGCCAGCGUACUCUCUGGAGUGACGGGUACACUGUGGGGACCGCCGCUGCUAAAGCGGAGGAAGGAAUGGGCAACGGUAGGUCAGUAUGCCCCGAAUAUCCCGGGCUACACGCGAGCUACAAUGGUUGGUACAAUGGGUAUCUACCCCGAAAGGGGACGGGAAUCUCCUAAAACCAAUCUUAGUUCGGAUUGAGGGCUGCAACUCGCCCUCAUGAAGCUGGAAUCCGUAGUAAUCGCGUUUCAACAGAACGCGGUGAAUACGUUCCUGCUCCUU
RNAcentral lists this ribosomal RNA (482 nucleotides) under uncultured Methanosaeta sp. RNAcentral describes it as "bacterial SSU rRNA". It matches the Rfam family "Archaeal small subunit ribosomal RNA", at positions 856 to 1338 of the family's 1478-position model. Lineage: Archaea; Methanobacteriati; Methanobacteriota; Methanomicrobia; Methanotrichales; Methanotrichaceae. The record is from RNAcentral.